GACGAACGCUGGCGGCGUGCUUAACACAUGCAAGUCGAACGGAAAGGCCCUGCUUUUGUGGGGUGCUCGAGUGGCGAACGGGUGAGUAACACGUGAGUAACCUGCCCUUGACUUUGGGAUAACUUCAGGAAACUGGGGCUAAUACCGGAUAGGAGCUCCUGCUGCAUGGUGGGGGUUGGAAAGUUUCGGCGGUUGGGGAUGGACUCGCGGCUUAUCAGCUUGUUGGUGGGGUAGUGGCUUACCAAGGCUUUGACGGGUAGCCGGCCUGAGAGGGUGACCGGCACCAUUGGGACUGAGAUACGGCCCAGACUCCUACGGGAGGCAGCAGUGGGGAAUAUUGCACAAUGGGCGGAAGCCGGAUGCAGCAACGCCGCGUGCGGGAGGACGGCCUUCGGGUUGUAAACCGCUUUCGCCUGUGACGAAGCGUGAGUGACGGUAAUGGGUAAAGAAGCACCGGCUAACUACGU
This 467-nucleotide ribosomal RNA is filed under the name uncultured bacterium. Its description in RNAcentral is "partial 16S ribosomal RNA". It matches the Rfam family "Bacterial small subunit ribosomal RNA", at positions 28 to 506 of the family's 1533-position model. The record is from RNAcentral.